This 293-nucleotide ribosomal RNA is filed under the name uncultured bacterium. Its description in RNAcentral is "partial 16S ribosomal RNA". It matches the Rfam family "Bacterial small subunit ribosomal RNA", at positions 505 to 796 of the family's 1533-position model. The record is from RNAcentral.
GUGUCAGCAGCCGCGGUAAUACGGGGGGUGCAAGCGUUGUUCGGAAUCACUGGGUGUAAAGGGCAGGUAGGCGGGCCGAUAAGUCGGAUGUGAAAACCCCGUGGCUUAACCCGGGGCUGGCAUUCGAAACUGUUGGUCUUGAGUGCGGAAGAGGGAGAUGGAAUUCCUGGUGUAACGGUGAAAUGUGUAGAUAUCAGGAAGAACACCGGUGGCGAAGGCGGUCUCCUGGUCCGCUACUGACGCUGAUCUGCGAAAGCUAGGGGAGCAAACAGGAUUAGAUACCCCGGUAGUCC